Cucurbita maxima (winter squash) is the source of this 1330-nucleotide RNA transcript. It is a transcript of the gene named chaperone protein dnaJ 6-like, with no coding region annotated. NCBI's taxonomy places the organism in Eukaryota, Viridiplantae, Streptophyta, Magnoliopsida, Cucurbitales, Cucurbitaceae. The record is from RefSeq and is a predicted model, not a curated record. The transcript has 10 exons.
GAAAAUAAAAAAAAACUCGAUCUUGCAAACACCCAUUGUGUUCUUCAUCGGAUCGGAUCGGAUCAUAAACUACUCAGGCUCUGCGAUUCUUGUUUGCACUUGGACCCUCUCCUCGAAUUUCUAUGGCGAAGAAGAAGAAAUCUAGGGUUCCUAUGGAAGAAGAGGAGGAAGAGCAAGUUGAAACUCCGAGUGAAUCUUACGCCACUCAGAACAGCCUCUACGAGGUUCUUGGAGUGGAGAGGACAGCUUCUCAGCAGGAAAUAAAGAAGGCAUACUAUAAGUUGGCGCUUCGCCUGCAUCCUGAUAAGAACCCUGGAGAUGAGGAAGCCAAAGAGAAAUUUCAGCAGUUGCAAAAGGUUAUGUCCAUUCUUGGGGAUGAGGAGAAGCGUGCAGUUUAUGAUCAAACAGGCUGCAUUGAUGAUGCUGACCUUGCAGGGGACGUUGUUCGGAAUCUUCAUGAGUUUUUCAGAACGAUGUACAAAAAGGUCACUGAAGCUGAUAUAGAUGAAUUUGAAGCAAAUUACCGAGGAUCUGAAUCAGAGAAGAAGGAUUUGAUUGAUUUGUUUAAGAAAUUCAAGGGGAAUAUGAACAGGAUGUUCUGUUCUAUGCUUUGUUCGGAUCCCAAGCUUGAUUCGCACAGAUUCAAGGAUAUUUUGGAUGAGGCUAUAGCUACUGGGGAACUGAAAGUAACGAAGGCCUACGAGAAAUGGGCACGGAAAAUAUCCGAAACAAAGCAACCUACCAGCCCUGUGAGGAAGAGAGUGAAAUCCAAUAAAGAGUCAGAAACAGAUCUGUAUGCAGUAAUAUCUCAGAGAAGGAAUGAGAGGAAAGAUCGAUUUGAUUCCAUGUUCUCAUCUUUGGUUUCUAAAUAUGGGGGAGGCAAUUUGUCAGAACCGACUGAGGAAGAAUUCGAGGCUGCCCAGAAGAAGCUAGAGAGCCGAAAGUCGUCCAAAAAAUCCAAGAGGAAGAGGAAGAGAAAAGAAGAGAGAAAUUCAUUAUGGUUCUGAAAGCUUAAUGGCUGGAAAUGAAUCUGUCCUCUCAGGUUGAACUAGCACAUCGAAUUUCAGAAACAUGAGAUGGGCUAAGAGCCAGAGCUUAGCUAGUAUUACAACUCAGUGUCAGAUUUAGAAAGCCUGGAUUAUCUGUUUCUUAAUGGGAUAGGAAAGGAGUGGAGAUUCAAACCACUCCGAUCUUUUGGUGGAGAACAUGUCUUAACUUAUCGAAUUAUCUUCAAGUUGAAGACUGUUACCUAGAACGGCUCCAAAAAGACUAAAGUCUGAGCAUCACAACUAAGAAGGGAAUGGAAAACUGACCUCCAUCGCGCAGCUGG